This 252-nucleotide ribosomal RNA is filed under the name uncultured bacterium. Its description in RNAcentral is "partial 16S ribosomal RNA". It matches the Rfam family "Bacterial small subunit ribosomal RNA", at positions 524 to 776 of the family's 1533-position model. The record is from RNAcentral.
UACGUAGGGCGCAAGCGUUGUCCGGAAUUAUUGGGCGUAAAGAGCUCGUAGGCGGCUUGUCACGUCGAUUGUGAAAGCCCGAGGCUUACCUCGGGUCUGCAGUCGAUACGGGCUAGCUAGAGUGUGGUAGGGGAGAUCGGAAUUCCUGGUGUAGCGGUGAAAUGCGCAGAUAUCAGGAGGAACACCGGUGGCGAAGGCGGAUCUCUGGGCCAUUACUGACGCUGAGGAGCGAAAGCGUGGGGAGCAAACAGG